This is a long non-coding RNA of Pocillopora verrucosa, 425 nucleotides long. RefSeq lists it as uncharacterized. The record is from RefSeq and is a predicted model, not a curated record. Lineage: Eukaryota; Metazoa; Cnidaria; Anthozoa; Scleractinia; Pocilloporidae.
CUUGCGAACUACAAGAAAUUUCAGCGUCUUUUGCAGCUAUUUUGGGGCAAGAAACAAGUCAGUUCAACGUUAGUACCUUGAAUUCCGUCAGUUCAUUCAAGGCAGACUUGCGUUUCUUUGAAGUUGGCGAAGCAAGGCAGUGGUUUAAGUUCGACCUCGUGGAUUUAUGGAUGUCGUUUUAUCACGAAACUCCUCGCGGACAGUAGCAAGCGCAGGAUGAAAAUAAGCAGUUAAAUUGAAGGAAAGAAAAAGGUUAACAUCUAAAAAGCUUACUUACGCGUAUUACACGAACUGAAGAAACUCAAAGGAAGACAGCACAACAGAAUAACUUCCAACAAGUUAACGAUCUGCCAAUUACGUUGGGUUGGUCUGCAUUAAACGAUUACACCUUGAUUAAACGAACGUCUGCAACUUUCAAAUGUAAG